UGGGGAAUAUUGCACAAUGGGCGCAAGCCUGAUGCAGCCAUGCCGCGUGUAUGAAGAAGGCCUUCGGGUUGUAAAGUACUUUCAGCGGGGAGGAAGGGAGUAAAGUUAAUACCUUUGCUCAUUGACGUUACCCGCAGAAGAAGCACCGGCUAACUCCGUGCCAGCAGCCGCGGUAAUACGGAGGGUGCAAGCGUUAAUCGGAAUUACUGGGCGUAAAGCGCACGCAGGCGGUUUGUUAAGUCAGAUGUGAAAUCCCCGGGCUCAACCUGGGAACUGCAUCUGAUACUGGCAAGCUUGAGUCUCGUAGAGGGGGGUAGAAUUCCAGGUGUAGCGGUGAAAUGCGUAGAGAUCUGGAGGAAUACCGGUGGCGAAGGCGGCCCCCUGGACGAAGACAGACGCUAAGGUGCGAAAGCGUGGGGAGCAAACAGG
Molecule: ribosomal RNA, 429 nt
Filed under: Chloroflexota bacterium
Lineage: Bacteria; Bacillati; Chloroflexota
Description: Chloroflexi bacterium partial 16S ribosomal RNA
Rfam family: Bacterial small subunit ribosomal RNA
Source: RNAcentral